UAGUAAAAUAAAUUAAAUUUUAAAAUUUUGAGAUAUUGUAUUCAUAAUAAGUGUUGUAUUGUUUGCUGCCUCCUCAUCCUCUCACGUGAAGGACUUACACAGGGGCCAGUUGGACUGAGAGUAUUGUGGCUGGCUAAGACUGGCUAAUGUCAAAGGGAUAUCGCCUGGAAAGUAGUCUCUGCUCUAAUAGUAUUGAACGUUUAUUAACAAAGUAGUUUUUUUUUUCCUGGUACUAGGGAUCAAACUGGACCUUGUGCUUGUGAGGCAGGCGUGGCGCCACUGAGCUAAAUCCCUGGCCUCAGAGCUAGAUGUUUGAUAGAAGAAGCUUCUGCAUAUAUUUUUGGUCUAAAAUUUUCAGUUUUCUUUGGAACAAUUUUAGAUCUACCAAAACUUUGUAGAAGAGAGUUCCUAUGCCCUCACCCGAAGUCAGCUUCCCCUCAUCUAGUCGUGUAUUGCUGUGGGAUGUUUGCCCAAACUGAGAAGCCAGCAUUGGUGUGUUUCCGUUACUCCAGUUUUUCUGUUCUGUCCUAUUCUGGGACUCAGUACAGGACACCACCUUGGUCUGUUGUUAUUGCUCCUUAGUCUCCUCUGGUUUGUGACAGUUUCUCAGUCUUACCCUUGGUUUUCAUCACCUUAACAGUUUUGAGGCAAAUGAGAUAGGCAGGGUUCAGAAUGUCCCUCAGUUGGGGUUUCCCUGGGGUGGCAGGUUUCUGGUAGGACCACAGAGGCGCCAUGGCUUUAUUGUGACAUCAUCUUGAGUGUACAGUGUUACCACAUGAUGUCACUUUGUUACCCUUCAUCACUUCGUUAAGGUGGAAGCUGACUAAUUUUUCCUUUACAUGGGAAAUCUCUGGGAAAAUGAGCCAUUUCUCCAAGGAGCCCUGAUGCCUCUCAGAACAGAGUGCUCCGCCGCCCGCCCCCCCCAGUACUGAGGAUCAAAUUCAAGACCUUGCACUUGCCAGAGGAACAGAGUUCUUAAACAGAAUAAAAGACUGGGCUACAUGGUGCAGGUGUGGACGCUGUAGGCAGGGACUGCCUCGUGUCCUCCAGGGUCAGAAGAGCUUGCUGCAGAGCAAACACCCGUUCCCUGGGUUCUGGGCACAAGCCGCCUGAUCGUAUCUGGGCAGCACAGUGUGCCUUUCCAGUAUUUGUGGGGAAGUCACCAGGAUAGAUCUGUGGUCCCUCUUCCCUUGGUGGCCGCUAACAUCAAGGGCCCCUGGUGCUGAGCCCCAGUCAGGAGUGUCCAGCUUUCCCCUCCUUCUAAAGUUGUAAUGAAAAUAUUUUUAAAUAAAGUUGUUUUUAUAUACAUGAGCUGUAUUGUAUGUUUGAUGUGUGCCCCAAGACAAUUGUCCUUUACUCAAAAGAGGGUGGAAAAAAGGGUGGACCACAGGUUGGACACAUCUGCAGG
RNAcentral lists this long non-coding RNA (1408 nucleotides) under Heterocephalus glaber (naked mole-rat). RNAcentral's name for it is "lncRNA (ENSHGLG00100052199.1)". The record is from RNAcentral. Lineage: Eukaryota; Metazoa; Chordata; Mammalia; Rodentia; Bathyergidae.